AUGAUGAUUUAGUUAUAAAUGUUUAUGGUUUUUAACUGAUGUCCUAUGAGGAAACUAAACUAGGGCGGUCUGAGAAA
Molecule: small nucleolar RNA, 77 nt
Organism: Orussus abietinus
Lineage: Eukaryota; Metazoa; Arthropoda; Insecta; Hymenoptera; Orussidae
Product: small nucleolar RNA U43
Exons: 1
Source: RefSeq, a predicted model, not a curated record